This 352-nucleotide unclassified non-coding RNA is filed under the name soil metagenome. Its description in RNAcentral is "partial contains 5.8S ribosomal RNA, internal transcribed spacer 2, and large subunit ribosomal RNA". The stretch from base 1 to 120 matches the Rfam family "5.8S ribosomal RNA", at positions 35 to 154 of the family's 154-position model. The record is from RNAcentral.
GAUGAAGAACGUAGCGAAAUGCGAUAAGUAAUGUGAAUUGCAGAAUUCAGUGAAUCAUCGAAUCUUUGAACGCACAUUGCGCCCGCCAGUAUUCUGGCGGGCAUGCCUGUUCGAGCGUCAUUACAACCCUCAGGCCCCCGGGCCUGGCGUUGGGGAUCGGCGGAGCCCCCCGUGGGCACACGCCGUCCCCCAAAUACAGUGGCGAUCCCGCCGCAGCUUCCAUCGCGUAGUAGCUAACACCUCGCGACUGGAGAGCGGCGCGGCCACGCCGUAAAACACCCAACUCUUCUGAAGUUGACCUCGAAUCAGGUAGGAAUACCCGCUGAACUUAAGCAUAUCAAUAAGCGGAGGA